This 463-nucleotide ribosomal RNA is filed under the name uncultured bacterium. Its description in RNAcentral is "partial 16S ribosomal RNA". It matches the Rfam family "Bacterial small subunit ribosomal RNA", at positions 28 to 507 of the family's 1533-position model. The record is from RNAcentral.
GAUGAACGCUGACAGAAUGCUUAACACAUGCAAGUCGAUGGGGAAGUGGUGCUUGCACCAUGGCAACCAUGGCGGACGGGUGAGUAACGCGUAAGGGACUUACCUGCAGGACUGGGAUAACAGGGGGAAACUCCUGACAAGACCGGAUAAUGUCAUGGAGCUGCAUGGCUUUAUGAUGAAAGGAGACGCCUGCGGAGAGCCUUGCGUCCUAUUAGCUAGUUGGUGAGGUAAUGGCUCACCAAGGCGAAGAUAGGUAGCCGGCCUGAGAGGGUGGACGGCCACAAGGAGACUGAGAUACGGCCCUUACUCCUACGGGAGGCAGCAGUGGGGAAUAUUGGACAAUGGGGGCAACCCUGAUCCAGCAAUUCUGUGUGCACGAAGAAGGUUUUCGGAUUGUAAAGUGCUUGCAGCAGGGAAGAAGUAAGUGACGGUACCUGCAGAAGAAGCGACGGCUAAAUACGUG